Molecule: ribosomal RNA, 303 nt
Filed under: uncultured bacterium
Lineage: Bacteria
Description: partial 16S ribosomal RNA
Rfam family: Bacterial small subunit ribosomal RNA
Source: RNAcentral
AGCAGUCGCCGCGGGAAUACGUAGGUCCCGAGCGUUGUCCGGAUUUAUUGGGCGUAAAGCGAGCGCAGGCGGUUAGAUAAGUCUGAAGUUAAAGGCUGUGGCUUAACCAUAGUACGCUUUGGAAACUGUUUAACUUGAGUGCAGGAGAGAAAAGUGGAAUUCCUAGUGUAGCGGUGAAAUGCGUAGAGAUUAGGAGAAACACCAGUGGCGAAGGCGGCUUUUUGGCCUGUAACUGACGCUGAGGCUCGAAAGCGUAGGGAGCGAACAGGAUUAGAGACCCGCGUAGUCCCUGUCUCUUAUACC